This 450-nucleotide ribosomal RNA is filed under the name uncultured bacterium. Its description in RNAcentral is "partial 16S ribosomal RNA". It matches the Rfam family "Bacterial small subunit ribosomal RNA", at positions 354 to 796 of the family's 1533-position model. The record is from RNAcentral.
GUGGGGAAUUUUGGACAAUGGGCGCAAGCCUGAUCCAGCAAUGCCGCGUGCAGGAAGAAGGCCUUCGGGUUGUAAACUGCUUUUGUACGGAACGAAAAGGCUCUGGUUAAUACCUGGGGCUCAUGACGGUACCGUAAGAAUAAGCACCGGCUAACUACGUGCCAGCAGCCGCGGUACUACGUAGGGUGCGAGCGUUAAUCGGAAUUACUGGGCGUAAAGCGUGCGCAGGCGGUGCUGUAAGACAGGCGUGAAAUCCCCGGGCUCAACCUGGGAAUUGCGCUUGGGACUGCAGUGCUGGAGUGCGGCAGAGGGGGAUGGAAUUCCGCGUGUAGCAGUGAAAUGCGUAGAUAUGCGGGGGAACACCGAUGGCGAAGGCAAUCCCCUGGGCCUGCACUGACGCUCAUGCACGAAAGCGUGGGGAGCAAACAGGAUUAGAUACCCGUGUAGUCC